RNAcentral lists this ribosomal RNA (497 nucleotides) under uncultured bacterium. RNAcentral's name for it is "partial 16S ribosomal RNA". It matches the Rfam family "Bacterial small subunit ribosomal RNA", at positions 28 to 507 of the family's 1533-position model. The record is from RNAcentral.
GAUGAACGCUGGCGGCGUGCCUAAUACAUGCAAGUCGAGCGAACAGACGAGGAGCUUGCUCCUCUGACGUUAGCGGCGGACGGGUGAGUAACACGUGGAUAACCUACCUAUAAGACUGGGAUAACCUCGGGAAACCGGCGCUAAUACCGGAUAAUAUAUUGAACCGCAUGGUGCAUUAGAGAAAGACGGUGUUGCUGUCACUUAUAGCUGGAUCCGCGCCGCAUUAGCUAGUUGGUAAGGUAACGGGUUAGCAAGGCAACGAUGCGUAGCCGACCGGAGAGGGUGAUCGGCCGCACGGGAGCUGGAACACGGUCCAGACUCCUACGGGACGCAGCAGUAGGGAAUCUUCCGCAGUGGGCGAAAGCCUUACGGAGCAACGCCGCGUGAGUGAUGAAGAUCUUCGGAUCGUAAAGCUCUGUUAUUAGGGAAGAACAAAUGUGUAAUUAACUAUGCACGUCUUGACGGUACCGAAUCAGGAAGCCACGGCUAACUACGUG